AGAUACCUUAGUGACCUCCUUGCAACCUGGAUACAAUUCCUUCUUUGCCUCUGUUAAUAGAUUAAAGAAUGCCUUUGCUUUUGCAUUUGGCUCUUCAUUAAUAUUUCCUAUGAUGUCUUCGUGUAUAGCACCACUGAUUAGCGUUGAAACUAGUUCGGUCACAGAACCACUGUCACCUGUUUCAUCAUCAUUGACAACUGCUGCAGCAUUGCCCUCAUCUGAAUCAUUUGCUUGGUUUCCUUCUUCGAUGAAGCUCUCAUCAAACCCUCUAAUAACCAAGUGACUCUGAACCUGAGAUUGUGUUCUGUAGGACAUGCAUCGACAUCUUGAACAUGGACAUGGUGCAGUUUCUCCUCUAGCAGUGCCACCAAAUGUAGUUUGUAUGAACUUUCUGAAAUUUGUUUGCCACUCAUUUGUCGUGAAGUGCAUGCGCAUCCAACUCCUAUUAUUCUGAGACAUGGCUUUCUAGUAUAAGAUAGGAAUCACUAGCCAGGACCUAUAACAAAAAAAACAAAGUUAAACUGAUUUUCAGUCAUAACCAGUAUUGAGCUUUAAAGUUUAAUGAUAAGUUAUUAAUUCAUGCAAUAUGUAGUCACUAGCAACAACAUAGUUUUCAAAAUCCUAUUUACUCUCCUGUUAGCAAGUUGACAUGAGAUGUUUGUGGUAUAUAUGUAGAUAUCUUGAUGUGUAGCUGCUAAGUGAUUUCCAGCCAUUCAAAUGUUAUUGACAUGCAUAUAUACAGAGGGAAACUGAAGCCAUAGAAAACAUUACAAUUGGUGACAAGGCCUGUGAUGUUUAAUAACGCAAUGUAAUACUAUCUAAUUCCAUAUAUUUGUUACAAGGUAAUGUGUGCUGAAUUGCAUUGAGAGAAAAUAAUUAAGUGUGUUGUGCAUAGGCAUUUGUUUGAAGCAAUGUGCACAUCACAACAAUUCUUGCUAUCAGUCACACUUGAAAACAUUUUGGUGCCGACAUGCCUAGAAUUAUUUUGGUGCCGACGCUAAUAACAGUUUCAGAAUUUUCCCUUUGCAUAAUUGUAGUUUCAGAAUCACAGUUUCACAUCCAUUUUUUUAAAAAAGGAUCGUUAAUACUAAUAUCUUUGUGCAGUGUAGUUCAUCAGUUCAAAAGGCAGUUUGCACAUCUUGAGGAGCAUCAUAGUGAGAAGGAGAAAGAGGUUCUACACUGCAAAGAGAGCAUGCUUCUUUACCAAGGUACAACAGCCAUAAAACUGAAUAUUAUUUGGCUAGAACCUGAAAUGGCGGAAACUCUCAGGAAUCAUGUGCAAACCGUCUAAAGCUGACUGUUGGAUGGGGUUGGCGAAGGUGUGCUUGAAUAAGGAUCACCUGAAGGCGUGGAGUCCCUGGCUGCUGGUUGUUGUGUGUCCUGGAGGGCGGCAGUUUGAGUCCCCUGCAGGCAGUGGCGGCUGUAAUAUGUAUUAGUAUAGGCAUGCAGACAACAAUUGGAAAUUGUAUGAUUCAUGUGAUCAUUUUCCUUGUAUUCUUUUCUAUUGUUGGUUAUAUAUCAGAUUUUAGAAGAUUCUUGUGAUCCUUUUCCUUGUAUUCUUUUCUAUUGUUGGUUAUAUAUCAGAUUUUAGAAGAUUCUUGUGAUCCUUUUCCUUGUAUUCUUUUCUAUUGUUGGUUAUAUAUCAGAUUUUAGAAGAUU
Molecule: long non-coding RNA, 1659 nt
Organism: Zea mays
Lineage: Eukaryota; Viridiplantae; Streptophyta; Magnoliopsida; Poales; Poaceae
Exons: 3
Source: RefSeq, a predicted model, not a curated record